Molecule: ribosomal RNA, 2133 nt
Filed under: Escherichia coli DEC14A
Lineage: Bacteria; Pseudomonadati; Pseudomonadota; Gammaproteobacteria; Enterobacterales; Enterobacteriaceae
Description: bacterial LSU rRNA
Rfam family: Bacterial large subunit ribosomal RNA
Source: RNAcentral
AGCGUACACGGUGGAUGCCCUGGCAGUCAGAGGCGAUGAAGGACGUGCUAAUCUGCGAUAAGCGUCGGUAAGGUGAUAUGAACCGUUAUAACCGGCGAUUUCCGAAUGGGGAAACCCAGUGUGAUUCGUCACACUAUCAUUAACUGAAUCCAUAGGUUAAUGAGGCGAACCGGGGAACUGAAACAUCUAAGUACCCCGAGGAAAAGAAAUCAACCGAGAUUCCCCAGUAGCGGCGAGCGAACGGGGAGCAGCCCAGAGCCUGAAUCAGUGUGUGUGUUAGUGGAAGCGUCUGGAAAGGCGCGCGAUACAGGGUGACAGCCCCGUACACAAAAAUGCACAUACUGUGAGCUCGAUGAGUAGGGCGGGACACGUGGUAUCCUGUCUGAAUAUGGGGGGACCAUCCUCCAAGGCUAAAUACUCCUGACUGACCGAUAGUGAACCAGUACCGUGAGGGAAAGGCGAAAAGAACCCCGGCGAGGGGAGUGAAAAAGAACCUGAAACCGUGUACGUACAAGCAGUGGGAGCACAGAGCAAUCUGUGUGACUGCGUACCUUUUGUAUAAUGGGUCAGCGACUUAUAUUCUGUAGCAAGGUUAACCGAAUAGGGGAGCCGAAGGGAAACCGAGUCUUAACUGGGCGUUAAGUUGCAGGGUAUAGACCCGAAACCCGGUGAUCUAGCCAUGGGCAGGUUGAAGGUUGGGUAACACUAACUGGAGGACCGAACCGACUAAUGUUGAAAAAUUAGCGGAUGACUUGUGGCUGGGGGUGAAAGGCCAAUCAAACCGGGAGAUAGCUGGUUCUCCCCGAAAGCUAUUUAGGUAGCGCCUCGUGAAUUCAUCUCCGGGGGUAGAGCACUGUUUCGGCAAGGGAGUCAUCCCGACUUACCAACCCGAUGCAAACUGCGAAUACCGGAGAAUGUAUCACGGGAGACACACGGCGGGUGCUAACGUCCGUACGUGAAGAGGGAAACAACCCAGACCGCCAGCUAAGGUCCCAAAGUCAUGGUUAAGUGGGAAACGAUGUGGGAAGGCCCAGACAGCCAGGAUGUUGGCUUAGAAGCAGCCAUCAUUUAAAGAAAGCGUAAUAGCUCACUGGUCGAGUCGGCCUGCGCGGAAGAUGUAACGGGGCUAAACCAUGCACCGAAGCUGCGGCAGCGACGCUUAUGCGUUGUUGGGUAGGGGAGCGUUCUGUAAGCCUGUGAAGGUGUACUGUGAGGUAUGCUGGAGGUAUCAGAAGUGCGAAUGCUGACAUAAGUAACGAUAAAGCGGGUGAAAAGCCCGCUCGCCGGAAGACCAAGGGUUCCUGUCCAACGUUAAUCGGGGCAGGGUGAGUCGACCCCUAAGGCGAGGCCGAAAGGCGUAGUCGAUGGGAAACAGGUUAAUAUUCCUGUACUUGGUGUUACUGCGAAGGGGGGACGGAGAAGGCUAUGUUGGCCGGGCGACGGUUGUCCCGGUUUAAGCGUGUAGGCUGGUUUCCAGGCAAAUCCGGAAAAUCAAGGCUGAGGCGUGAUGACGAGGCACUACGGUGCUGAAGCAACAAAUGCCCUGCUUCCAAGGAAAAGCCUCUAAGCAUCAGGUAACAUCAAAUCGUACCCCAAACCGACACAGGUGGUCAGGUAGAGAAUACCAAGGCGCUUGAGAGAACUCGGGUGAAGGAACUAGGCAAAAUGGUCGCCGUAACUUCGGGAGAAGGCACGCUGAUAUGUAGGUGAAGCGACUUGCUCGUGGAGCUGAAAUCAGUCGAAGAUACCAGCUGGCUGCAACUGUUUAUAAAAACACAGCACUGUGCAAACACGAAAGUGGACGUAUACGGUGUGACGCCUGCCCGGUGCCGGAAGGUUAAUUGAUGGGGUCAGCGCAAGCGAAGCUCUUGAUCGAAGCCCCGGUAAACGGCGGCCGUAACUAUAACGGUCCUAAGGUAGCGAAAUUCCUUGUCGGGUAAGUUCCGACCUGCACGAAUGGCGUAAUGAUGGCCAGGCUGUCUCCACCCGAGACUCAGUGAAAUUGAACUCGCUGUGAAGAUGCAGUGUACCCGCGGCAAGACGGAAAGACCCCGUGAACCUUUACUAUAGCUUGACACUGAACAUUGAGCCUUGAUGUGUAGGAUAGGUGGGAGGCUUUGAAGUGUGGACGCC